AGAAACCACUGGACCAGCAGAGAUUUUAGACACCACAGCUCGCCUUCGUUCUCGCUGCCUCCACCAUGACUUUCUCCUCUUCUUCUUCCUCCUCUAGUGGAGAUCACGACCUCUCUCUUUAUCCUCCCUCUCAAUAGGGCUUUGUUUCAGAAUCUGGUGCGAACAGAGGUUGUGGCUCGGAUUCUUUGUUAAAGAAAAAGAAAUUGCACCGAGGUUUGAUGGAUUGAGAUUCAUACAUGUUUGAUGGUAGGUCCUCACAUCAAAUCCGUCGAGCUUAAGCAUCUCAAGCUAGGUAAAAGAGAAAUAUCAUUGAUUUGCACGUGCAAGUAAACCAUGACAGACAUUGCCUAUCACAAAAACAAACAUUUAAUAUCAAGAAAGUGUUAUUAAAAGGUAUUUAAUGUCGGUUGUCUUUAAUAUCUUUAACCGACAUUAGGCAGCCGACAUUGAAGAUCUUUAAUAACAUAAUCUUCAAUUUCGAUUGACAACCAACAUUGUACUCCUGUAAUGUCAAUUUUAAAUUGAUAUUAAAGUCUAAAUUUGUACUAGUGAUAAUGAAGAAAUAGAAAACGU
Molecule: long non-coding RNA, 573 nt
Organism: Benincasa hispida (wax gourd)
Lineage: Eukaryota; Viridiplantae; Streptophyta; Magnoliopsida; Cucurbitales; Cucurbitaceae
Source: RefSeq, a predicted model, not a curated record